UCCGUAGGCGGUUUUGUAAGUCAGUGGUGAAAUCUGGUCGCUUAACGAUCAAACGGCCAUUGAUACUGCAGGACUUGAAUUACCAGGAAGUAACUAGAAUAUGUAGUGUAGCGGUGAAAUGCUUAGAUAUUACAUGGAAUACCAAUUGCGAAGGCAGGUUACUACUGGUUUAUUGACGCUGAUGGACGAAAGCGUGGGGAGCGAACA
Molecule: ribosomal RNA, 207 nt
Filed under: uncultured bacterium
Lineage: Bacteria
Description: partial 16S ribosomal RNA
Rfam family: Bacterial small subunit ribosomal RNA
Source: RNAcentral